GUUAUAGGGUCAAGCGAACAAGUGCAUGUGGUGGAUGCCUUGGCGAUCACAGGCGAUGAAGGACGCGGUAGCCUGCGAAAAGCUACGGGGAGCUGGCAAACGAGCUUUGAUCCGUAGAUGUCCGAAUGGGGAAACCCACUCCUUUUGGAGUAUCCAUGGCUGAAUACAUAGGCCAUGCGAAGCGAACGCGGUGAACUGAAACAUCUAAGUAACCGCAGGAAAAGAAAUCAACCGAGAUUCCCAAAGUAGUGGCGAGCGAAAUGGGAUGAGCCUUGCACUCUUUAUUUGUAUUGUUAGCCGAACGCUCUGGAAAGUGCGGCCAUAGCAGGUGAUAGCCCUGUAGGCGAAAACAGUAUGAAAGAACUAGGUGUGCGACAAGUAGGGCGGGACACGUGAAAUCCUGUCUGAAGAUGGGGGGACCAUCCUCCAAGGCUAAAUACUCGUGAUCGACCGAUAGUGAACCAGUACCGUGAGGGAAAGGCGAAAAGAACCCCGGGAGGGGAGUGAAAUAGAUCCUGAAACCGCAUGCAUACAAACAGUCGGAGCCUCGUAAGGGGUGACGGCGUACCUUUUGUAUAAUGGGUCAGCGACUUACGUUCAGUAGCAAGCUUAACCGUAUAGGGCAGGCGUAGCGAAAGCGAGUCCGAAUAGGGCGUUCAGUUGCUGGGCGUAGACCCGAAACCAGGUGAUCUAUCCAUGGCCAGGAUGAAGGUGCGGUAACACGUACUGGAGGUCCGAACCCACUAACGUUGAAAAGUUAGGGGAUGAGCUGUGGAUAGGGGUGAAAGGCUAAACAAACCUGGAAAUAGCUGGUUCUCUCCGAAAACUAUUUAGGUAGUGCCUCGUGUCUCACCUUCGGGGGUAGAGCACUGUCAUGGUUGGGGGGUCUAUUGCAGAUU
Molecule: ribosomal RNA, 899 nt
Filed under: Burkholderia cenocepacia
Lineage: Bacteria; Pseudomonadati; Pseudomonadota; Betaproteobacteria; Burkholderiales; Burkholderiaceae
Description: bacterial LSU rRNA
Rfam family: Bacterial large subunit ribosomal RNA
Source: RNAcentral